Molecule: ribosomal RNA, 301 nt
Filed under: uncultured bacterium
Lineage: Bacteria
Description: partial 16S ribosomal RNA
Rfam family: Bacterial small subunit ribosomal RNA
Source: RNAcentral
CAGCAGCCACGGGAAUACAGAGGCUGCGAGCGUUAAUCGGAUUUACUGGGCGUAAAGCGUGCGUAGGCGGCUUCUUAAGUCGGAUGUGAAAUCCCUGAGCUUAACUUAGGAAUUGCAUUCGAUACUGGGAAGCUAGAGUAUGGGAGAGGAUGGUAGAAUUCCAGGUGUAGCGGUGAAAUGCGUAGAGAUCUGGAGGAAUACCGAUGGCGAAGGCAGCCAUCUGGCCUAAUACUGACGCUGAGGUACGAAAGCAUGGGGAGCAAACAGGAUUAGAUACCCCAGUAGUCCCUGUCUCUUAUAC